GGAAGGAUCAUUAGCGUUUGGAUGGUUUCUGCCAUUUGAUCAACUGUGGAUCGUGUUGUGAGCGGUCGGGUCUCGUGGGACCCGCUUUUAUGCGAACUGGAACGACUUGGCUAAAGCGGAAUUUUUCAAAAUCAUAUACAACUCUUAGCAAUGGAUAUCUUGGUUCCCACAACGAUGAAGAACGCAGCGAAAUGCGAUACGUAAUGCGAAUUGCAGAAUUCAGUGAAUCAUCGAAUCUUUGAACGCAAGUUGCGCUUUCGAGAGCCCUCGGAAGCAUGCCUCUCUGAGUAUCGGUUUCCAUCUCACACCCGGUGUGGAGCAUGAGGGUCGCGGCGCUUCACGCCCGCGUCCCUUGAAAUCAGGUCGGCCCGGCACAAGUCCAUCGGAUCCUUGGAACGACGAUCCGCCAUGGCACCACGGAACCACUGGCAAGAUCUCAGGUGAGGUAAGACUACCCGCUGAAUUUAAGCAUAUAAUUAAGCGGAGGAAAAGAAACUAACUAGGAUUCCCUUAGUAACGGCGAGUGAAGCGGGAAGAGCUCAAACCGAAAAUCUCUGCCCGUCCGCGGGCAGCGAAUUGUGGUCUAUGGAGGCGUGUUCAGCGUGCGGCGCCGGCCAAAGUCCGUUGGAAGACGGCGCCUGGGAGGGUGACAGCCCCGUCCAUGGCUGGAUGUCCGCCGCGUACGAACCGCUCUCUAAGAGUCGGCUUGCUUGGGAGUGCAGGCCUAAGUGGGUGGUAAAUUUCAUCCAAAGCUAAAUACCUGUGGGAGACCGAUAGCGAACAAGUACCGUGAGGGAAAGAUGAAAAGAACUUUGAAAAGAGAGUCAAAAGUACUUGAAAUUGCUGAGAUCGAAGGGAUGGCAUCUAGUAUUGGCCGGGGGAUUUGGCCGGCGAGGAGUCGGCCCCGUCCGGGUCGCAAUUGGCUCUGGUCUUUGCGGCUGGGGCGUGGUCCGGCGCCGAGUCGGCUCCCGUCCCCGGGCCUAGGUCAGGAUGGAUUUGCGGUGGUUGAGAAGCGCCCCGGGAAGGUGGCCGUCCCCUCGGGGGCGGACCUUACAGACCGGGGCGGAUGGACUGCCGGGGAUCGAGGCGAGAAAACCCACACCUUCUUCGGGCGGUUGGGGGCCCCGUGCAAUGGUCGGCCGGUGCCGGCGGGAUGCAAUGCCUCGCGUCGGCGGCCGGUCGCCAUCUGCGCGGUCGGCCCACUUGUGCGGUUUGGGAUCCUGACGAAAUGGUUGUCAUUCACCCGUCUUGAAACACGGACCAAGGAGUCUUACAUGUAUGCGAGUGAUCGGGUGGGAAACUCGUUCGCGGAAUGAAGGUGAUUGUGGGAGGAUCGACGGCGGGCGCCAGCCUGCCGGCAGAUCCGGGCGGCCAGGAUAUCGGUACGACCCAGAGCAUAUCUGUAGGGACCCGAAAGAUGGUGAACUAUGCUUGAGCAGGACGAAGCCAGGGGAAACUCUGGUGGAAGUCCGAAGCGAUACUGACGUGCAAAUCGUUCGUCUGACUUGAGUAUAGGGGCGAAAGACUAAUCGAACCAUCUAGUAGCUGGUUCCCUC
Molecule: unclassified non-coding RNA, 1556 nt
Filed under: uncultured fungus
Lineage: Eukaryota; Fungi
Description: sequence contains 18S rRNA gene, ITS1, 5.8S rRNA gene, ITS2, 28S rRNA gene
Rfam family: Eukaryotic large subunit ribosomal RNA (bases 432-1556)
Source: RNAcentral